ACUGGCACAAUGAUGACUUACAUUUUUGCCGUUUACCCAGCUGAGGGUUGCUUUGAAGAAAUGAUUUUGACUGAGAUGCCAGU
RNAcentral lists this small nucleolar RNA (83 nucleotides) under Jaculus jaculus (lesser Egyptian jerboa). RNAcentral describes it as "Small nucleolar RNA SNORD87 (ENSJJAG00000007560.1)". It matches the Rfam family "Small nucleolar RNA SNORD87". Rfam says of the family: U87 (HBII-276) is a member of the C/D class of snoRNA which contain the C (UGAUGA) and D (CUGA) box motifs. Most of the members of the box C/D family function in directing site-specific 2'-O-methylation of substrate RNAs. The record is from Rfam by way of RNAcentral. Lineage: Eukaryota; Metazoa; Chordata; Mammalia; Rodentia; Dipodidae.